AGUGAACGCUGGCGGUAGGCCUAACACAUGCAAGUCGAACGGCAGCACAGUAAGAGCUUGCUCUUACGGGUGCCGGGUGGCGGACGGGGGAGGAAUCCACCGGAACCUACUUUUUCGUGGGGGAUAACGUAGGGAAACUUCCGCUAAUCCCCAAUACAACUUACGGGUGAAACCAGGGGACCUCCGGACUUUGCGGGAUGGAAUAAGCCGAUGUCGGAUUAGCUAGUUGGCGGGGUAAAGGCCCACCAAGGCGACGAUCCGUAGCUGGUCUGAGAGGAUGAUCAGCCACACUGGAACUGAGACACGGUCCAGACUCCUACGGGAGGCAGCAGUGGGGAAUAUUGGACAAUGGGCGCAAGCCUGAUCCAGCCAUACCGCGUGGGUGAAGAAGGCCUUCGGGUUGUAAAGCCCUUUUGUUGGGAAAGAAAAGCAGCAGGUUAAUACCCCGCUGUUCUGACGGUACCCAAAGAAUAAGCACCGGCUAACUUCGUG
RNAcentral lists this ribosomal RNA (492 nucleotides) under uncultured bacterium. Its description in RNAcentral is "partial 16S ribosomal RNA". It matches the Rfam family "Bacterial small subunit ribosomal RNA", at positions 29 to 507 of the family's 1533-position model. The record is from RNAcentral.